Molecule: ribosomal RNA, 27 nt
Filed under: Hedychium coronarium
Lineage: Eukaryota; Viridiplantae; Streptophyta; Magnoliopsida; Zingiberales; Zingiberaceae
Description: partial 18S ribosomal RNA
Source: RNAcentral
UUAGUGAACUGCGGAAGAUCAUUGUUG